CAAGACGCCUGAUCAUCAGGAAAUAAAACGCAAGUAAACAAAUGGGAAACGUGUUCCGUCUCAGGGCUAACAUCUUUGUUGUCACAGAGCUGCAGAGUUCUCAACUUCAUUGUCAGAGGCGGUGCUGAAGAGUGCCGGAGAGCGUAGGAGGGCCGAGAGGUGGGUCUUGGCCCCUUGGCGUGGCCCCCUAGACCAAGGCUGCUACGGAUGCCAUCAAAGUCUGGACUGGCAGGGACCCACUGCCUCAGCCCAAACUUUAGGCAUCAAAUGAGAAGAGCCCCUUUCCUUGCUGCUGGUCUUUGACUUCUGCCUUCAGGACAUUUUUCUGGUAUUGUCUGCAGAUCGUUCAUAGAGCCUAUAAGACAUAAAGUCCCAGUGUGGGAUUUAUGAGCUGAGUCUAACUCUCAAAAUUUGAUCUGCCUCUUUACUCC
Molecule: long non-coding RNA, 431 nt
Filed under: Mustela putorius furo (domestic ferret)
Lineage: Eukaryota; Metazoa; Chordata; Mammalia; Carnivora; Mustelidae
Description: lncRNA (ENSMPUG00000027223.1)
Source: RNAcentral